This 209-nucleotide long non-coding RNA is filed under the name Brassica napus (rape). RNAcentral's name for it is "long non-coding RNA (BNAP_LNC016113)". The record is from RNAcentral. Lineage: Eukaryota; Viridiplantae; Streptophyta; Magnoliopsida; Brassicales; Brassicaceae.
UCGGGAUUCAGGGAGAUUAAGAUUUUUCAAGAGAUAAAGUUGAGAUUUUUAGGAUAUUCUUCAUAUCGAAUCCUAAAUCGAAAGAGGGGAAAUAGGAAAGAUAGAGUCUUAGGGUUUUUAGUUCGGGUAUACUUUAAACCCGAUUGGAUCUGGGUAUUUUACCCGAACCGGUCCAUAACUCAUUAUACCAAAUUAUUAGUUUCAUUCGG